UACAGAGGGGGUAAGCGUUGUUCGGAAUUACUGGGCGUAAAGGGCGCGUAGGCGGGCGAUCAAGUCGGUGGUGAAAUCCUACAGCUUAACUGUAGAACUGCCUCCGAUACUGGUUGACUCGAGGAAGGUAGGGGCGUGCGGAACAGUUGGUGGAGCGGUGAAAUGCGUUGAUAUCAACUGGAACUCCGGUGGCGAAGGCGGCACGCUGGACCUUUUCUGACGCUGAGGCGCGAAAGCCAGGGGAGCAAACGGG
This 253-nucleotide ribosomal RNA is filed under the name uncultured bacterium. RNAcentral's name for it is "partial 16S ribosomal RNA". It matches the Rfam family "Bacterial small subunit ribosomal RNA", at positions 524 to 776 of the family's 1533-position model. The record is from RNAcentral.